GGCGGCGUGCCUAACACAUGCAAGUCGUACGAGAAAGUUGGCUUCGGCCGAUGAGUAAAGUGGCGCACGGGUGAGUAAUGCGUGGAUAAUCUGCCCUUUAGUUGGGAAUAACGUACCGAAAGGUGCGCUAAUACCUGAUAAUACUGCAUAACUACUGUUGUGUAGUCAAAGAAGGCCUCUGUUUACAAGCUUUUGCUGAAGGAUGAGUCCGCGUACCAUUAGCUGGUUGGUGGGGUAAUGGCCUACCAAGGCUACGAUGGUUAGCUGGUCUGAGAGGAUGAUCAGCCACACUGGAACUGAGGCACGGUCCAGACUCCUACGGGAGGCAGCAGUCGAGAAUAGUCUACAAUGGUCGGAAGACUGAUAGUGCGACGCCGCGUGAACGAUGAAUCCCUUCGGGGUGUAAAGUUCUUUUAUAUGUGAGCAGUGCCCUUUAUAUGAAUAGUAUAGAGGGAGGGAUUUAAGCGUAUGAAUAAGCAACGGCUAACUCCGUG
RNAcentral lists this ribosomal RNA (494 nucleotides) under uncultured bacterium. RNAcentral's name for it is "bacterial SSU rRNA". It matches the Rfam family "Bacterial small subunit ribosomal RNA", at positions 38 to 507 of the family's 1533-position model. The record is from RNAcentral.